This 377-nucleotide ribosomal RNA is filed under the name uncultured eukaryote. RNAcentral describes it as "partial 18S ribosomal RNA". It matches the Rfam family "Eukaryotic small subunit ribosomal RNA", at positions 592 to 976 of the family's 1831-position model. The record is from RNAcentral.
CAAUAGCGUAUAUUAAAGUUGUUGCGGUUAAAAAGCUCGUAGUUGGAUUUCUGUUAAGAAUCGUUGGUCUGCCUAUUGGCAUGAAACCGAUUGAUUCUUGACAUCAUCAUUGUAGGCAAUUGAUACUUAGCUGUGUUGGUUGCUUGCAAUGAAAGUUACUUUGAGGAAAUUAGAGUGUUUCUAGCAGGCAAACGCCUUGAAUAUAUUAGCAUGGAAUAACACGAUAGAGCUUCGGCUUUAUCUUGUUGGUUCUGGUGUCGAAGUUAUGAUUAAUAGGGACAGUCGGGGGCAUUCGUAUUUAACGGUCAGAGGUGAAAUUCUUGGAUUUGUUAAAGACGAACAACUGCGAAAGCAUUUGCCAAGGAUGUUUNCAUUGA